UUGUCCGAAACCUUGGAGCAUCAUAUGGACAGACUUUGGGAGAUUCAGGCUGUCCUUACGGGACAUAGUGAACAGGGUGUAGACAUAGGCAGUGCGUCAGGCUCCGUGUCGUGAGAUGUUCGGUUAAGUCCGGCAACGAGCGCAACCCACAUCCCUAGUUGCCAGCAGUUCGGCUGGGCACUCUAUGGAAACUGCCCGUGAUAAGCGGGAGGAAGGUGUGGAUGACGUCAAGUCCUCAUGGCCCUUACGGGUUGGGCUACACACGUGCUACAAUGGCAACUACAGUGAGUUAAUCUCCAAAAGUUGUCUCAGUUCGGAUUGGGGUCUGCAACUCGACCCCAUGAAGUCGGAAUCGCUAGUAAUCGCGUAACAGCAUGACGCGGUGAAUACGUUCCCGGGCCUUGUACACACCGCCCGUCACACCAUGGGAGUUGGUUCUACCCGACGGCCGUGCGCCAACCCGUAAGGGAGGCAGCGGACCACGGUAGGAUCAGCGACUGGGGUGAAGUCGUAACGUGAUAGCCGUAAUCGAAUUUCAACCGGCCGGGCGGAR
RNAcentral lists this ribosomal RNA (553 nucleotides) under uncultured Alphaproteobacteria bacterium. Its description in RNAcentral is "bacterial SSU rRNA". It matches the Rfam family "Bacterial small subunit ribosomal RNA", at positions 966 to 1533 of the family's 1533-position model. The record is from RNAcentral. Lineage: Bacteria; Pseudomonadati; Pseudomonadota; Alphaproteobacteria.